AAAAAAAAUGCCGAGGCUUUGGCUGGAAGAGAUGGGACAGAAAGAUUAGUAAUCUUUUUAUAUUCAUGCAUCCUUGCAGUUGCGAAAAGAUCUUACGUAUCUGCCCUUAUGAGUUUGGGACCUUCGAGCCUCAUAAGUACCUGGAUGACGUGUUGCUGAGCAUUACAGUUGGGGACACCUGUAUGAACUGGCUUAAUGGGUUCAUGGAGCACCA
Papaver somniferum (opium poppy) is the source of this 214-nucleotide long non-coding RNA. RefSeq lists it as uncharacterized. NCBI's taxonomy places the organism in Eukaryota, Viridiplantae, Streptophyta, Magnoliopsida, Ranunculales, Papaveraceae. The transcript has 3 exons. The record is from RefSeq and is a predicted model, not a curated record.